UCUUUUACACUAUUUGAAAAAAACCCCAACCAAACAAAACAAAAGACAAAAAAAACCCAUAUAAUAUAAAUUCAAUCUGGAGAGACUCAUCGACUAAAAGGUUUUAUUGACUAGAUGAAUUAAAGUUCUUUGGCGCUCGGACCCUGGUAGAAGGCAUUGUGCUGUAAAUUGAAGUAAGCUUGGAAGAGCAUUUGCUAUGCUGAUUUGAGAUGUCUUCCCCCGGAGCCCGUACACUGGUGGUCGGAGAAAGGAUGGAGGCCUGAAGGAGCCAGGAGCAUGGAGGUGGAGAAGGGAUGGAGGUGGGUUGAGCACGGCUGGAAAGCAGAUGAUGCCGUAAAUGAAGCUUCUUCUAAACGGGAGCUUGAUCAGUGAUUGGCUGUGACGGGGCAUGGUCCGAUGCUGAUAGGCUGGCGGCAGAUGAACGUGACACAGUGAGUGGAUGAUGCAGAUUUUUGCCUCGAUUCAACAAUGUUAAGGACAGCCCGAUUAUCGGGACGACUCUUAUAAUCUUAAGAGGUUCUUCCAUGUGUGGUGCGUUACGAGUGGAUCUGGUCCACACGGAAGGAAGUCCUGACCACUCCGAUUGAACAUUGGGAACAUUCAACGUGAUGUAUUGUCUUGUCCCGAUAUCGCAAUGUGUGGGCUGUUCCCUGAGGACUAACAAGAACCCAGCUUGUUCAAUGUGAGAUGUAGACCAAGAGGGGAGUUCUUAAUAAAGAAGACAAAACAAAACCA
This is a long non-coding RNA of Xiphophorus hellerii (green swordtail), 735 nucleotides long. RefSeq lists it as uncharacterized. The transcript is spliced from 2 exons. The record is from RefSeq and is a predicted model, not a curated record. Lineage: Eukaryota; Metazoa; Chordata; Actinopteri; Cyprinodontiformes; Poeciliidae.